RNAcentral lists this transfer RNA (72 nucleotides) under Heterocephalus glaber (naked mole-rat). It matches the Rfam family "tRNA". From Rfam's summary of the family: Transfer RNA (tRNA) molecules are approximately 80 nucleotides in length. Lineage: Eukaryota; Metazoa; Chordata; Mammalia; Rodentia; Bathyergidae. The record is from Rfam by way of RNAcentral.
GGUAAUGUACCUCAGUGGUAGAGCAUGUGCUUAGCAUGUACAAUGCCUUGGGGUUCAAUCCUCACAAAAUCA